Long non-coding RNA from Dermacentor silvarum, 964 nucleotides. RefSeq lists it as uncharacterized. The record is from RefSeq and is a predicted model, not a curated record. NCBI's taxonomy places the organism in Eukaryota, Metazoa, Arthropoda, Arachnida, Ixodida, Ixodidae. The transcript has 4 exons.
CAUAACUUCCUUUCCUACGUCCUUUCCUACGUAACCAUCGCUUACAACGCGGCAGUGCAAGAGACGAGGCAGAUCGCGCCGUUUAGGCUGGUUUGCGGAAAGAAGCCGACGACGACUCUCGACGUCAUGCUGCCGCUUGUCACCGGCGAAGAGAACCUCGACGUCAACGCCCAUCUGCAGCGCGCCGAAGAAGCCAAACAACUCGCUCGCCCGCGCAUCAAAAACCAAGAAAAGAAAGACAGCCGAUAACACAAUCUUCCAUGACGCUACGUGGAAUACCAGCCCGGUGACCCUGCUUGUGUUUCGACUUCGGAUCCCCGACAAGGACUUUGUGAGAGACUUUCGCAACGCUAUCAGGUCCUGCGAGACGGCACUACGCAAGCAAAGCGGCGCCGCUCGCUGCCUGAAGUAGUCCAUGUUGCGGGGCUCAAGCCUUCCUACCAGCGAUAGCAAACUCUAAGACAUUGACGUAUGCUUUUUACGAUUCCGAAUAUGCAAGAAAUGCCGGGAAAUGUAAUCGCCGAGCUCAAGAUUGUUAACGAAUCCCAUGAAUGUGCAUGAAACCUUGGAUUUCGCUUGUGCACCGCCCGCCUCCUGGAUAUACGCGAGUUGAAGGAAUUGUGCACUUGGCAGAAGAGGGUACAACCGAAGGAAUACGAAGUACCGUUAAAGGAUGAAAAGGAACUUCGGCACAAUCAGAACCCAGCGAUACCGACAAGAGGCUGGCCACUUGGUGCUAGUGAGAAAACGAUUGUCAAACUCGUGCUCACAUCACAGAGGCUCAUAUCUGUUGCCAAAACGGCAAACCAGUACUCUUUUACGUAGGCCCAUGGCACUACCGAAUCAGUCUCUAUUUAGAAACAUUUUUAAAUACCUAACCAGAAGGUCCGAAAAAUGCUAGGGUGAGUGGAGCGUAUUACGGCCAGAAAAAGACGAGACAGAAGCCGCAGUAAAGGGGCAGCGG